This 7295-nucleotide long non-coding RNA is filed under the name Lactuca sativa (garden lettuce). RNAcentral's name for it is "long non-coding RNA (LSAT_LNC005590)". The record is from RNAcentral. Lineage: Eukaryota; Viridiplantae; Streptophyta; Magnoliopsida; Asterales; Asteraceae.
UAAUUAGGAUCAUUGUGUGUGUCUAAGUCUUCACUUGACACCAAGCACUUGUCUGAUCCUUCCGUACGAUAACAGCCCGUUCAAUUCCAGUCACAUACUGCAGGUGAGUUCAUACCCCUUAACUGUGACAACCCGAAAUUUUCCAUUCAAAUCAAACCACAUCAAUCCAAUGGAAGUAGAGCAGUUUCAGUGAAAAUUCAAACUUUUGGAAUAAGUUUGGCAGUUUUAGGGUUUUACACCUAAGGAGUUAUUAGGAGAGUGGGUGCACUAGGAUUUUGUGCAACACUGUAAUUCCAUUACUCUAGGUCAUUAGAAUCCAUUCCGAGAAUAGAAAUAUUUUCUGCCAAAAAUCUCUGGACUAUAAAUAGAAUUCUGAACCAAAUUGGUUCAUUAUUUGAUUUCCAUUUAGAGAAAAGCCAAAUACUCUCUCACGGAUCUUCGGGUUUUCAUCCCAGAUUGUGAGUCUACUUCCCUAAAUGUGUUUUAAUACUUGUUAUAUGCUUUAUAACAUUGUUUACAUGUCCAAAACACAAGAUCCGGGAGUUUACCGCCCAAGAACGUUCUUGGGGAGUAAACUCCAAAAUCAAGCCUAAAGGCCACCUAGUCCCAUUUCCGUGUUAGGCAUCUAACUAAGGACUUAGUGUAUGAUCAUUAGAGGCUAGAAACAAAUCAAAAGCAAGUAGUUUGAGGAGUUUACGGCCAAGGAACAACCUCUUGGGCCGUAAACUCCAAGUAAAGGGCACAAAUGAGUGCCUAGUGUUCCUUUAGCCUUAGAACAAGAACCUAGAAGCCUUAAACUCAUGAUUUAGACCCACAAAACAAUUAGAAACCAACUUUGGAAGGGAGUUUACGGCCAAGAUGCUCCUUAGGCCGUAAACUCCANCAUAGUCAUAAAAGGUCUUUCCAGUGUAUCCUAUGCCCUUGAGUAGCAAGGGUAUACAUCCACGUCCAUACGUACCACUUAGAUUACUAGAAAGCUACCAUAGGGGUAGUUCAGGAAGAUACUAGAACCAUUACUAGAACGCGAUAUCAUACAAUGAGUCAGUUCAUUCAUGAGUCAAUACUUUCUAGAACAUUGCUAUACAUUACAUGUACAAUUAUACUAGGACGAGAACAUAUACAUCCAUACUAGAACGUUUACAUUACUAUACUUGCUAGAUAGGGAGAACACACAUUCUAGCUAGCACACGUAGAACCUUACCGUACUCUACUAUAAUAUUUACAUUAUUAUACUUAUAGGAGUACUUGUGCAUAGAUAUAUCAGUAGGAGUCCUAUUACAUUUUAUAUGUAUCGACUCUGCUAUCAAAUUCGUGUUCUUAUCUUUACCUUGUGAUAAAAUCACAUAAUCGACGAGAUAGAAUGGAUUAUUAUCCUAGUACCAAAGGAUACGUAUUGAGGGAUUGACCAUUCCUAGAAUAUCUGUUAGCUACAGAGGUAAAAGUACAUCCACAGAUGUCAAACGGUCGGUACCAUUAUAGGUACGCAAUUAAGGGAUUGACUAUUCCUAUACCCAACUGUUAGCAACAGAGGUAAGAGUACAUCUACGGAUGGCUUAAAGUUAACAAUGAUAGUUACCCUAGUACAAAAGGGUAAUAUUCAGAACAGUCAGGUCUUGGUAGAAGACUACAUUCAGAACAGUUAGGUCUUGGUAGAAGACUACAUUCAGAACAGUUAGGUCUUGGUAGAAGACUACAUUCAGAACAGUUAGGUCUUGGUAGAAGACUACAUUCAGAACAGUUAGGUCUUGGUAGAAGACUACAUUCAGAACAGUUAGGUCUUGGUAGAAGACUACAUUCAGAACAGUUAGGUCUUGGUAGAAGACUACAUUCAGAACAGUUAGGUCUUGGUAGAAGACUACACACAGAACAGUUAAGUCUUGGUAGAAGACUCCUUUUUGUUACUAAUAGGAAUCAUAGGGAUUUCUAGGGAUUUUCAAACAUUUUCAGUUGAGUUACAAACAUUUUCAUACUUAAACUAGCUUUCUUUCAAAGCAAUGUCAAGUCUUAGAAAUUAUAAGUUUUCACAAAUUAAGACACAUUAAUACUUAUGAUCUCACCAGCUUUAUAGCUGAUACUCGCUUUCAAAAUUACUUGUAUCCUCAGGUCAUCAUAGACAGGUACCGAUGCAAGGAGAAAGGAAGAUGAAGCUUAUUCAAGACUUAUCUUUCAUUUUGAUUUAUGCUUUAGUGUUUAUCAAAAUUUGACAGAAUACAAUUGUAUAAUAAUUAUUUUAUUAAUGCAAUGGAUGAUGUUGUUGCUUGUUUACUACUUUACAUUGUUGUUGAUAUUAUACAUGACGUCCUCCGCCCCAGAACGUUUCCGCCGUUCUUGGUUUUGGGGUGUGACAGAUUGGUAUCAGAGCAUUGUUUAUAGUGAAUUAAGUAUAUCAACCCAUAAAAGAUAUACUAACUAUAAAUACAUAAGGGAUUAAAAAUACUCUGACCAAGAGUUUAUACUUUAAAUAGUAAAAUAUUUAAGUAAGUAUACGUGCUGCAUUCAUACUAAAAUCAAUGUCAUUAGGACAGUACAAAAGAAUUACGAUUGUUGGGCAACACAAGUGGGCUUAGAGACAUAUGGUCAAAACUGGGAAGAUAUAGCCUGAUCACCUAUAUUAUCCGAGGGUUGACUAGCAUGUGCCUAAGUUUAAGUGUGUGGUUGCAACAAUGCUAAAAUCUUACCAACCCUACCACAAUGAGAACAAUAGAACAUAACAUUAAAUUUAAAAUACUAUAGGUGUAUUUUGGUGUUACUAUAAGUACUUUAUACUUGAGAAUUAAAAUGGGAUCUUCAUUACUAAGUUGAUAGUUGCUAAGUGGAUACACUGAGGCUACAUGUAAUUAGGAUGUUAUAGACUCAGAAUCUGUGAUAAUUUUGCCUUACCCCUAUUCUGUGUGAAUAAGGAGUUAAGGUCACUUAUUCGAAGGUCUAUCCUGUUUAGAUUACACAUAGCUGGUAUGCACUUCACAAAUAGCGAUGUAACUAAUGAAGGUUUUCUAAAUAAUUAUCUAGAUAGUUCGUCUAAUAAUUAUCCUCUUACCCUAAAUUCUCGCAUAGAAAUCAUAGCUGGACUCCAUCCCCUUGACAACCAGUAUCUUCCGAAUGAAGUCAUAGCUGGUUGGUUUGGAGAAGAACCAGAGAAUGAUCAUCCUAUCCCCUUGGAUGAUCACCAUGAUGAAGACUUUUCUUAUGAUGCUAACUCCGAACCAGAGGUUGAGAACCUACCCCGAGCAGCUCCCUUUCCAAUUCCUAACCCUCGUCCGACUUUUCAUGGCCCGACCCUGAGUGAGUGGAAUGCUUGGAAACAUGGAGCCAAGGACAAGAUCAGCCCAUGCCAUUUAAUGGCGACCGAAGCUUUUACGACUUGAGCAAUGGGGGCUCAGCAGAUAGAGUCUUGCCAAUCUUGGUCCGCAGAGUGGCCCGAAAUGAGAUUCAAGGCAGGACAGCCCUACAUCAGAUUACAGAAGUAGUCGCCUAUGCUAGAAUGCAUACCCUCCACACCAUUCAUCUAGAAGAUGCUCACGAGAGAUCAGAGAGAAACCAUGAAACCCUACUGCAAGCACUGACUGAAUCACGAGCCGAAGUCAUAGGGCUCCGAGUACGCCAGAUGGUGUGCGAAAGACACCUACUUGACAUGGAACGUCAAUUGGCUGAACUAAGAGUUCACCAGAGGGAUGACCGUCGCCAGUAGUAGACGCUUUACUUUAUUUCCUUAUUAAAAGGAAUCGUAUUUUUCUGUCUAUGCCUGAUGUGGCAUUUUCUAUGAAAUUAUCUUGUACCGUAAGUACUUUAGUUAGGUCUUUAUGCUGUCAGGAACUAUCUUCUGUGGAUAUGAUGUAAGACCUUUACAAGGUCAUUUUCCAGAAUCUUUACAUCGUGAAUAUCAAAGAUAUUGACAGCCGGCUAACUUCUGUGUCAUUCUUCAUUCAAGUACUCUUAUCAUACUUUCAUUGGAGUCUAUCUGAAACCUGCUUUAGUCAAGUCAUUGGACUAUAGUAAUUUAGCUCCGGAGACAUUUCCAAGUCUCUUUCAGUGGUUGGAUCUUGUUAUUCACCAACCCACGAUACCUCGGCUUGAACGACAAACGUCUUGAGACCAUUCUACGAACUUACUUCUACUCAUUACUAGGACUGCAUCAUAGGGAUGUAGGUCAAACCUUCGCGAACAUACUUCCAUUCCGUACUAGGACUGCAUCAUAGGGAUGUAGGUCAAACUUUCGAGAACAUAGUCGUACUCUUUACAUGAACAAUCUAAGUACAUCAGGGUCAACCAGAAUCGCUCACAAAAUCCUUAUCUUUCGUGUUACAGAAUCAUGUCGUCAUCCGGAAGCAAUCAGUCGAACAGCGAAACCUCCGCUUUUCCUAUGGACGCCGCUACCUUUCAAACAGCAGUUACAGCUGCCGUGGUGGCUGCUGUAACCGCGGUCCUUGCGCACCGUAGCGCUAUCAGCACAGUCAAUGCUGCUGAUGGGAAUGAAGUUUCCAAUCGUGGUAUCCAUCCAGGAAGUCGCCAAACAGUAACAGUCACAGGCUCGCAAAGCCGAAAAGCAGAGAACAAGAAACGAAAGCGUCAAGCCCGGAAGGAACGCAAGAGAGCCCAAAAGCUGGCUAUACCACAACAGCAAGUGGAAACCCCUGCCGUUCCCAUACCGCGCAGGUCAUAUGAGGGAAAACUCCCGAAGUGUGAGAAGUGUGGUUUCCAUCAUCAUGGGACUUGCCAUGAGAUGCAAUGUUGCAAUUGCCUGAAUAUAGGGCAUCAUGCUCGUGACUGUGGAGCACCGAAACGACCUGUCACUCAAGUCCCUUUCAUCGAGACGAACCCUGCGCACAAGUUGAGUUAUAGCGCAGAACGAUUCAAGAAGCAAUUUUCGAGGUGGAGUAACGAGGAAGGCACUCGUGUCCACAUAACACUAGCUAAGCACCGAAAUCCUGUCACCAAAGCUAGUACUAGCCAGUCAUGUCACCAAUGUGGUGAGACAGGGCACUUCAAGAAAGAUUGCCCGAUAACGCAGAAUUCUGGCGCAGAUGGGAAAAUUCUCAGGAUCACAGCUGCGGGAGAGCCUGCUCAGGAACCACGUUAAUAUAUUUAAGGCGUUUCGUUGUGACAGACUUAUAAACUAUCUAGAACUAGUGCAACCAGAGUCUUACCCUUUUGCGAGAUCCUGUCUGUAUAGGAAUUCUCGUGCUGCAUAUACUUGUCUUUUGUAGUAUAUCUUAUUCGCAGCAAUAGUCUUGUGGUAAACCUAAAAGUAAUGUAACUCUGUUCAUGGUUGCAUAGAUGUGUUUUGUCUGUAAACGUCUUAUGUUUAAAUUCUAAUGUCUUUAAAGUUUCUGUAUGAUUCUGACAUUAUCAUAAAAUCAGAUUCCAUUUGACCGACGCGAAAACAACUUCAUACGUACGUCCCUAUCUUCUAGAUAACUUUUCCAGCGAAGCCGUCAUAUCAGAACGCCAAAGUACUCAUUCCCAGAGUACCUCUUAGUUAAUUUCUUUCCGAAGAAAUCCCCGAGGUACCACUCGUGCAGUGCGUCAAGUUCAAUCCAGGGAUUCAUGCGAAUGAUCUAUCACUGAGGAAGGUAUACAUAAGAGUGUUAUAUAAUCAAGGUUCUACAGGUUUAGAAUUGAUGAUUCCGCCUUAACUCUCUUCCUCUUUGGGAUGUGAGGGUAAGGAAGAAUCAGUUAUUCGACUACCUUUUCAAUCUUAAUUAUAUACGACUCGUAUACACGAAAUUGUGAUCGUAAAUCCAUGUAUGAAUUCUAAAAUGGACUUCAGGACGAAGAAACUGCCUAAGUAUACGAGUAAUCACAUUGUCAUGUGAAUAAACUUAGAACCCAGUACAACUCCCGAAAACAGACCACCCUACAGUUUAAACACCCCCGGAGAUACAAGAACAACACCAGCAACUUGGCGAAUUACACAGAAAUAGAAUUAGAAGACUAGGUUUCUCACCCUAGAGAACCCCGGUCAGAUUCUUCCAGAGAUCGAUGGAUCGCAUCGUAUGUGCCUCGGUUAUCGAGGAAUCCGUCAAGAUUUUUAUAGAAAUCGUUAUCUCUGCCUCACAUAGACAAAAUGGUUGAGCACACGUAAGGAAAGAAACUACUUCUAGGAAUAGACCUAAGAUCCGAAUAUCACCAGUUCGAUGUGUUAGGGAAGGAUGUCUGGAAGACUAUCUUCCGAAUUCGAUGCGGACGCCUCGAGUCCGUAGUGAUACCUUUCGGAUAGGACCAGUACGCCCAUGGUUUUCAUGAGCUAAAUGAAUAGGGUUACGUCUUUCUUACUUAGGAUCGAUUCGUCAUUUCUCCAUGAAAUGACUUACUUAUCUACCCUCGUAGUAAGAAGAAAACCGAUGAAAACAUUUCCUACAGAGGAACUUUUAGCGAAGUUCUAUAGGCUUGAGUUUUGAAAUUGAAGAGUCAAAUUUCUAGGACACACUGUUAGUAAUGUGAGAAAUUUUGGGUACUCUUUCAGUUUGCCAAAACAUUUGAGUAUUCAUCGACACCAGAGAAGCCGACAGCUUUCGCCAAAUGUUAGGUCUUACCGACCUACCGCCUUAGUUCAUUCAGAACUCCUCGCAAGCUUCAGAUACUCGUACGACUUUGACCCAGCAAGGGAUGGCCUUUGACUGGGGAGUUACGCAAGAAAAGGAACCUUUGAGUUUCCGAGUGAGUGACCAAGUUCUUUCGGAUAAACUCACUCUGGGAAUGGCUUAAUACGCUUCGUAAAGCGUGAAAAGCUAAAUCCCAAUUUGGCAGGACCUCCGGGAUUCUUAUCAGAAUCUGUCCUGUGCCUCGCACAAACUAGACCUACUCCGCGAACUUAGUAGCGUACUUUCUACUCUUCGCAUCUCGACCGUGAAACCAUACCUUUCCGUUAGGACUCUUACAAGUCCACUCGUCAAGAUCCUCGCCUUUGUAUCAGAACCGUAGUGACCCUCGACCGAGAGGUCAAGCGGACGAAGCAACGCCGUCGCCAAUUAGUGAAGGUUCGUUGGGAUACCAACCGAGAGCCCGACUUCACUUAAGUGCGCUAGAACCAAUCGAUUAGGAAGUUUCCUCCUCACGUCUCGAUCAUUCGUGUAUACUUCCAUGCCUAAAUUCUAAUUUCGGGACGAAAUUCCCUUUAACAGGGGGAUGAUGUGACAACCCGAAAUUUUCCAUUCAAAUCAAACCACAUCAAUCCAAUAGAAGUAGAGCAGUUUCAGUGAGAAUUCAAACUUUUGGAAUAAGUUUGGCAGUUUUAGGGUUUUACACCUAAGGAGUUAUUAGGAGAGUGGGUGCAUUAGGAUUUUGUGCAACACUGU